This is a long non-coding RNA of Dama dama (fallow deer), 7033 nucleotides long. RefSeq lists it as uncharacterized. Lineage: Eukaryota; Metazoa; Chordata; Mammalia; Artiodactyla; Cervidae. The record is from RefSeq and is a predicted model, not a curated record. The transcript has 3 exons.
UUCCCAUGGGGUGCCAGGAGAAGCACAGUGAAGCCGAUUGCAAUGGCAGAGGCAAAGCCAUCUACAGGCUCCUGCCUUUCCUGUUCCUCGGCAACUCCCAGGCACCCCAACUGCCCCAACCACCCAGGCCCUUGUGUUUAAUAUUGCUGCUGGCCAAAGUCUUGGUUUUCUCUGACCACCAGAUAAAAUAUGUGGAGACAGAGUUUGGAGGAAAUAGAAAGAUGGCUUUAAUUCUCAGCUGAUGGAGAGGGGAACACAGUAGGCUCAUGCCUCGAGAACUGUGAGAAGUCUAGGGGCUUAUAUAAGAUAAGAGCUCACAGUUAGGAGUCAGUAAUGAGAGCAAAGGUCUGAGGAUCUUAAUUUCUUCCUCUUGGAUUGUUUUAAAGACAGUCAUAGGCUGACGUCAGUAACCCAGUAAUUGAGUCUGGCAGUUUGGUGGCUCUGUGGCCUUCUUUCUGAUAUGUAACUACAAGGGAAAGGGUGUUGUAAUGCUGAACACCAGAUGCAGGAUGCAUUUAGCAUAGAGUCAAAGGAAAAUAGAUGUGAAGUGUAGCUCCUGCAAAGUUAAGGGGGCAGAGUAGCAAACGUAGUUACAGGCAUGCAGAGUUAGAAGCAGUUAAAGUAAAAAGCUAGGAUCAGGCUUGUUCACUGUCCUCUUCAUCUUUGUUCUCAGGAAAGGGAAAGAAAAAAAAAAAAAAAACACUCAUUCCUCUUUUUUUCCUUUUCACUGCAGCAAUAUUACUUACUAGUUUCCUUUUUCAAAAGAUUAAUACAGCGGGAAUGGUUAAAGUUGGUUUUAUCCACUCCUUGAGUUUUAAAUUAUAUUUACAGUGAGUGAGGGCCUACUGGCCCAAAACUAUGAGAUUACAUCAUUUGUUGAAUAAAUGAGUUUGAUGGGGUUCAGGGGAGACCACACCAAGAUGUGCCGCUCUGGCAUGUGGAUUAUUUUGAGCUGAAAACAAGCAAGCCUCAAAGACUCAGGGAGAAUGGUUGAACUUCCCCUUUACUGCUUAAAGAAUUUAAAAUAGAAGGCUUAUGCCAGGAAGUAGCUAUCACCAUAGAUGACUAUAGGAAAGCAUGCAUGCAGUGUCACAGGGAAGAAGCCCUUUUGAUCAAAGUCUUCUCUGUGUCACAUUAUCUUUAGAUGACUCAGCAAACAUUUGUUUACAAAGCAUUAAUCCUUCUCGUCUUCUUCUGAAUUGCCUUAUUAACACUCACGGAGGGAAACACUUAGGAAUGUGUACUCCAGGAUCCUUGGUGGAUAACUGUGUGCUCAGUCGUGUCUGACUCUGUGACCCCAUGGACUACACCUGCCAGGCUCCUCCAUCCAUAGGAGUUUCCUGGGCACAAAUACUGGAGUGGGUUGCCAUUUCCUUCUCCAGGGGAUUUUCCCAAUCCAGGGAUCAAACCCGCGUCUCUUGUGUCUUCUGUAUUGGCAGGCAGGUCCCUUACCACUGAGCCACCUGGGACUUCCCCUCAAGGUCCCAAACCCCAGCCUCCCCUUCUGGAGUUCAGAAUGCCAGAAGAACUGAGGAGGGGAAAGGGCAAAAUUCUCCUCCCCCGCAAGUUCACUGAGUACUGAUUUCAGGCGAGCGUUGCAUGGAGAUUGAGCCAUCAGGAAGUUUAGAGAAAUUGAAGGGCAUCCAAACAGGCCUGGAUCUGCAGUUGGCCCCACCAGGAAGAAGAGACACACCCAGAGCCGGCCUACCUGGAUGGCUAGAAACCUUUCUCAUAGCUAAGGCCUGAGAAAUGCUGAGACCCUCAGAGACAGUGGUGGUUUUCCAAAGAAGAGAGUUCCUGAAACAAUAGUGUUAGCUUUUGAUGGACAGGUGUGAAAGUUUUGUUUAAACAUGAAUCAACAAUGUCCUGAUUGAGGAAAGAAGUUUAUCUAUGACAAAUAGCAAGUCUUCCUCUCGGGUCUGGGUGUCUACUGUUUGGGACUUCUGCAGUGCCUCUCCAGAGAGAUUUAGGUAUUGGUGAUACUCUAUCACAUAAACACUUUCUGGAUGAAAAUAUAUCUCCUUAAGUAAGUACUAGAUACGUCAAAAUAUUAGCUUAACUGCUAAAGAAUUUGCCAGUCCUAAAAUAUGUGCAUUUCAAGGAAGGCAUUCCCUUUAGAAAUGUGACACAGAAAUCAUGUAACUGAUGAGGUAUAGUAGGCAAGUAUGUUGCAAUAUGCCUUAAGUGAAUUUUAAAAUGCUUGUUACUUUAUAAGGAGUUAAUACAUAUGCGGGGUAAAACAUUUUUUUUUUAAGAAAAGAGUGUAAGAAAAAGACACCUCUCUUUUAUCUUGCUUCGAUUUAAAAAAUGAUGUGAUAGGAAGAGGUCCAGGGCAAUAGGCAGUACACACUCAAGUAGUUAAAAAGGAGAAGCAAACAGAAUGAAUUUGGAUACUAAAUGAGUUUUAAUCCAUAGUUUGGAAAAGAUGAAAUGGACAGAAGCUGUAACUUAGUCUGCAGAGAAGACAUUUAGGAGAAGCAAAAGUUAAUAGUAGAUUUUCAAUGUGUGUCUCAAUACCUAGUACUAGACAUCAGAUAACUGCCACAUAUUUACUUAUUUGUUGCAUAAUCACUCUGCAUGGUAAAUUAUUUGUCCCAGUUUACUAAUGAGUCUGAGAUUAAGCAAUUUUCUUGGGUGUGAAUCCCAGCUGUGCAUCUUACCAAGUGGCGUGUCUUAAAUUUAUGAAAAGUUUUGAAACUUACUUUCCUCAUCUAUAAAGUAGUUGUUGUUUAGGCUAAGUCAUGUCUAACUUUUUUGUGACCCCAUGGACCAUAGCCUGCUAGAUUGCUCUGUCCAUGGGAUUUCCUAAGUAAGAAUACUGGAAUGGGUUGCCAUUUCCUUCUCCAGGGGAUCUUCCUGACCCAGGGAUCGAACCCACAUCACAUACAUUGACAGACAGACUCUACCACUGAGCCCCCAGGGAAGCCCCAUCUAUAAGAUAGAGGUAAGCAAUGUCAUGAGCAUGUGUGUAAGUUCCUUAGCAUAGUGCCUUGGACAUGCAGUGGAGUGAAAGGUGCUCAGUCAUGUCUGACUCUAAGCGACCCCGCGAACUAUACCGUUUGUGGAAUUCUCCAGGCAAGAAUACUGGAGUGCAUAGCCUUUCCCUUCUCCAGGGGCUCUUCCCCCGGUUCAACCCAGGGAUCAAAUCCCGGUUUCCUGCAUUGUAGGCGGAUUCUUGGACAGGCAAGAACUUAGCAAUUCUUUUACUAUUAUUGCUGUGUGCUUGAACCUCUCAGAUCUAUGCUGGAAAACAGUAAAACAGAAGGAGCCCCACUCUGGUUUCCUGUAAUCUUGCUCUCAAGACCUAAUUCUAAGCUAAGGCAUGUCAGUCAUCAUCCUACAUGACUGGAGUUUUAUUUCUUAAGAGAGAAAAUGGGUCCCAAGGAUCUCAUUUGCCAACAGAAGUGAUUAUAAGUCAUUAACAUUUUGCUCAGCCUCUGUGAAUCGUGAUCAGGUUACAAAGAUAUCUGAUUAUAUUACAGAAAAAGGAAAGAAAAAAAGAAGAAAGAAUGAUGUCUUCUAUUUCCAUUUCGUACUUGUGAUUGCCUGAACCUCACAUUCCCCCAUUCUGUCCACAGUCCCAUGGAAUAUCAGUUACAAGGACUUCUAGGUUUCUGUAAGGCAGAUCACUACUUUUUUUUUUUUUUUCCUUAAUAAACUCAAUAUUAACAUGUGGCCACCCAGAUAGAGGAGAAAACUUUCUGGGGUCUAGAUGUUUUCAAAGCUAGAUUAGGUAGAAGGUCAGUGAGACAGCUGGCAGAGGCACUAGUUGGUCAGGGGCAGCAGAACAUUUCUGGAGACAUAAUAAGAUUAAGAAAACUGUGUUGGGCAGAACUCACUUCAGGGAGAGUACAUGUAGGAAAGGCUUUGUUAGAUAGAUGAAGAUGAGAGCGCAGGACGCCGGCAUCAUUUGGAGUCACCCAGAUAUUCCUUGAAACACUGAGUAUAGGUUCAGUUAACCGAAGUCUUACUGCUUUGCUCCUGGGGUAUGAAGGAUUGGAACCUGAGCUGGGUCCCACAUUCUCCACCCUUUUUCCAUGAGAAGCGGGACUUCACCUCUAAAGAAGUAUUGAACAGAUAUAGGGAGAUAAAAUUUAAUAUGGUAACCAGAAAAUCCUAGGUCUUGGUUUAUGAAAUAUUUCCAAAUGUCACCUGGGAUGAUGCUCAUAGAACUUACACUGUAUCUUUAUGUUGUGUGUUACAUUUCAGUCUUUUACAACAGAGGUGUUUUGUUUUUUUUUUUUAACUGGAGCUCUUCCCUUUCUGGAGGGGGGAGACAUGCCUGAUGUCACCAUCAAGAACAGAAAUUAGCAGACAUGUUGGGAUUCCCUGAUCCCACAUCUUGCCAGUGCCCAAUUCACCAAUGUAUGUAACUGAGUCUGGCACAACUCUCUGCUAUUAAUUAAAAUGUAAAACUAAAUGCCACUAAUAAUGGGUGCAGUGGUGAGUUAACUUACUUAUAUAAAGCUGUUCUGUUGUGGCUUCGUCUGUCUUGCCGUGUUGUGGGAUAUUUCUUGAUGUGAGAUAAUGACAUGCUGGUGACAAAGAGAGAUUUGCUUGAAGAGUUAACCAUUAGUUAGUAUGCUGAUUGCAGUUUAUUCCGUAGCAAAAUUCCAUAUCUUUGUUCAUUUUUUGUGCCACCUUAUAUAGACACAAAUAGGACUGGAACUGAAAGUCUCACUCAGCUUUACUUGGAUAUAGAGAGGGACGGAACUCAACAAUUGCAAUGUGUUCUGUGCACCCUGUUAUUUCAAACAGUGAAACUGUCUGGCCGUAAAAAAUUUUUUAAUGUGAGAAGGUACACCUGGUUAUCAACCAUGUGCAAGGGAAUGAUUUGAUCAUAGCAAAAUCUAGAGGACAUGUGAGUUCGGGAAACUCUGGAUUCAAACAUCCUAGUAAGUGGCAAGUUCAUAUGCCAAGGAAAAGAGGCUCCUGUAAUGGGUAAAUUUCUGUGCAUUGUAUUGAGAGGGAAUGGACCAGAGAAGCUUCAACAUGUUCCCUUGCAUAAUGAUGAGAUUUGUUUCAAAAUUUAUGUAAAACGUCAGGAUAUCUGGGAACAAGUUAUAGAGGAUGCAGAACCUAUCCUUCUAAAAAGAGGUCUUAGUUUGACAAGCCGCAUGGCUGCAGUCAGCUGUUGGUAUUUUUACAGUAUGUAAGGGAGAGAGUGUAGAUGAAGACCCCUUUUUUUUGUGUACUGUUUCAGUUAACUAUGAGAGGAAUCCAUGUGUUCUAUCUCAUCUAAGAUUUCUUUUUCAGCCAUAAGCCAACACUUCACGGGUGUGGAUAAAUUUGUACUAAUAGUAACCCCUGCUAUGCUUGGUAAAAUGUCAAGCUUUGCUCCCUAUAUACAGAAAGGAGUAGCUAUUUGUUUAAUGCACAGUCAUGCACUUGGUGCAAGAAAUGUGUCUGCAAAAAAGAAGAAUGUUCUGGCUUCUAUAUACAGUAAUGAAAACCCCACUGAGCAGUAAAAACCAAAUCUUUGAAUCUGUGAUUUUUGUUAAGGAAUUGGUAGGUGGCAGAGCAUCCAUCUCUAUGUAGAAGUGAGGUGACUUCUCAUGGCAGCAUAUUUAUUUUGCAAGGGGGAAAAUGAUGAAAGUGAGUCAAGUGCUUCUUUCUUUUCCCUCUCUGAGAGGGUGGCCUUCACCAGUUGACCUGAAUAUCCAUCUAAUUGAAGGUUGUGGGGGUGCACAGUCUUGGAGACUGGGAUCUAUAGUAAGAAGAAAUGUUAAAAAAAAAAAAAACAAGCAAAAAACCAAAAAGCAGUUCAUUUUGUCUUGUUCAGAUUCUAGCAUAAGAAAUAAGAUUAUGCAGGAAUAAAUUUUUUAAAAGACUUCCAAGUCAGGCUGUUGAGAUCUGAGAGAGGAUUUUUCAGAUGGUCUCUGUCCUCUUUAACGGACAGCAGCACCAGCCUGGAGGAGCCAGCUUACGGAGUUCUCCUAUGGGCUAGAGAAGAAACCUGUGCUAACUAUGACAGCAAAGUUCCAGCACCUGCUGCCACAUGGAAGAAGGUGUAUCAUAAGGCCAGACAGCCCAUCCAUUGUUCUUCCCAGGGGAUGAUGGGAAGGGACAAGCUGGGUAGAGAAGGAGGACUAAGAAAGCAAAAGUACCAGGAUGAUGUGUUCACACUCCCCCUCACCUGCCCCACGCCCGAGCUUAGGUGAGCAAGGAAAUCGCAGAAGUAGAGAAGACAAAGAUGUUCUUAACAACCUUACAGGCUGCUCUGCACCGUCCUGGGGAGAACCCACAUCACUUGGCCAUGCAGGAGGGCGGGAGGAGGUUAUGGCCAACUGGUCUUGGUUCCCAUGGGGUGUAUCUGUAGGAUACAGAUGUCCCUAUCUUUGAAAAUCUUCGCACAAAAACUGUAAGAGAAGAAUAUAUUGUUUUAUAUGGCUAUACGUUUAAUGUAUUCCUAUUAAUUCAGGCAUCACCGAUACCAUGAACAUGAACUUGGGGUGGACUUCAGGGAGGUCUGGCAUGCUGCAGUCCAUGAGGUUGCAGAGUCAGACAUGACUGGGCAACUUAACAACAACAUUAGUUCAGGAUUAUGGUAGACAUUGAGUAUAUUUCAUUGAUAAUUAUAAUUAUCUAAAAAGUUAUUCCCUUUAAGGGUUUUGUAAUAUAUGGUGUCAGUCAGUCAGUCAGUCAGUUAUGUGGUAUAAGAACAUAAUUUGAGGACAAAUAUACAAACUGCCUUUCAAAGAUCUGGUACUUAUGUUCCAAUGGCAACAUAAGUCAACACAAAGCCCUGAUCUAAAAAUGACUGAAACAUGAUGAAGGCAUGUAUUUGCCUUUCAUUUUAGACCAGGUCUUACAGGAUUUGAUAAAAUAUAAUGUGUGUUUUGAGGAGCAAUUCAAAAAGCUAGGCAUUACCUAAUCACUCUUGUUGCUAUAAAACAAAUAUUAUAACUAUGUCUAAAUUGUCAGAGUACAUGGUGAAUAAAAAAUCUUCUCAAAUAAACACUCUUAUCAUGAGCUCUUGGAUCUUGAAGGCUCAGCGUGUCUGUCCAGUGUCUUAGCAAAGCAUCGUGCUUCC